RNAcentral lists this unclassified non-coding RNA (216 nucleotides) under soil metagenome. RNAcentral's name for it is "partial contains 5.8S ribosomal RNA, internal transcribed spacer 2, and large subunit ribosomal RNA". The record is from RNAcentral.
AACUGAUACUACCUGCGGGAACCUGCGGAAGGAUCAUUAUCGAGUUUACAACUCCCAAACCAUUGUGAAUCUUACCUUUUCGUUGCUUCGGCGGGAUCGCCCCGGGCGCUUCGGUGCCCCGGAUUCAGGCGCCCGCCGGGGGACCUAAACUCUUGUAUUAUAGUGGAUUUCUGAGUGGAUUACACAAAUAAUCAAAACUUUCAGCAAUGGAUCUCU